This 4768-nucleotide long non-coding RNA is filed under the name Xyrichtys novacula (pearly razorfish). The record is from RNAcentral. Lineage: Eukaryota; Metazoa; Chordata; Actinopteri; Labriformes; Labridae.
GACAAGUUUUUCACUCAGCUGCGAUGUCUUUUUCAGACUUAAACAAAAAAUACUGCCACAUGGCCAACGUCACUCCUACUUCUUGCUACUUUGUUUGUACCUUAGUACAAACUGUUGUUGUGAUUUUGUGGGCGCAAAAAAGAUAUCAGCAAAAAACACCCCUAAUUCAAAGCAUGUUUCCUUGUUGCCCAUCUCUUUUUUUGAAGGUUGACUGCACAAGUUCAUGCUGUUAAAGCAGAGCGUAAAAGUAAUAUGAUUGUUGCAUGGGUAAUGGCGCUGCAUGCAACAAUCCCUUCUCUAGAUGAAACAAAUGUAUCCAGCCUUGAGCAUCCAAAGAGCACCCGUGUGUGACAAAUACAAACACCCAGCAGUGCUUAUUUUCUUUUGUCAUAACAUUUGUUAAGUUCAGUAUAAGUUGCUUUUGAGUGAGUGGCACAGAGGAUGUUUAUACAUGAGAAUACAAAGUGCACAUCUAUUAGUGAGUUAGUAUUUGGUAAACGGGUGUAAGCAUGACUUAAUCAUUUCAUAUUUGGAUUUUUUAUGCCUUUACAUGCCUACUAAUGAGCCAAAAACAUUACAAUCACCCGCCUAACAUUUCAUAAGCCCCCAUCUCGUCUGGCCAGGAUAUUUGUGGCCCAUACCCAACAAGACUCCCAACCUUAACUCCACAAGACUUCUGAAGGUGUGCUCUGGUACCAAGAAAUUAGCAGCAGAUCCUUUAAGUUCCUGGAAAUCGAAAGUUUGGGCCUCUUUGGAUUGGACUUAGUUGUCCCGCAUUUCUUACAGAGAGCAGGAGAAUCUUUAAGCCAUGUCAACACUGUGAACUUUUUCUCCUGUUGCUCCAGGCUACAUACCCCUUGGUGCAGUUCUGAUUCCAAUGUAGGCUCUACUGGUGAAGGACAAGGGUCAGCAUCGACACUCUGACCAGGACACAGCUGUGAUGCUCUGUGUCCUGAUACUUUUCUAUCAAAACCACCAGCAUUCACUUCAACACAGUUUGAGCUGCAGUAGCUUCUCUGCAUUAUCAGAUCAGACAACCCAGUGAUGCUGUGAUAAUCACUUACAUUCUGCGAAAGGCACCCCAGAUUUUGUGUUUAAACACCUUUAUGUUACGUUUGGUCAUCAUUUCAUUUGCAGUUUUAGGGAUGAUGCUGUCACAUUUGUUUCAGAUGGGGAAUGGUUUUUUCUUGGCCUACAUUAACACCAGGUAAGAUGACAAAAACUACAAUAACAUUCAAUGUGUUUUUAUUGAUUGGUCGGCAGGAUGCCGCUCACUAUGGUGUUGGGUUCAAGAGUUGUCACACUCACACUCGAGCUGUUCCUCCAUUGUUCCUCCAAAGCUCUCCAGCAGGCGCUCAUAUAAAGCUUAACGUCAGUUGGGGAGAAAUAGCAGCACUAAUCUCAGAAUGAUGCCCUUAUUUCCAUCAUUACAAUGAAAUGGGAGGAAAAAAACAAAUGUGGUUUUGUUUUAUUCUACCCCGAUUUUUUCUGAGGGCUGGUGUUUCUUCGCGACAUUUUAUAGAGCUGCUGUCGUCUAAGUGGCAGCCGCAGUUGUUGCAGACUGUGGCGAGCUGUUGGUGGCAGGGGUUGUGUCGUGGGCUUGUGACUCACUUUGUUAUUGUUCUUUGGGGAGAAUUGACUUGCCGCCACUUUGUGCUUUGAAGAUAAUUUCAAUCUGAUUUUGAAGGAGAGGUACUUUAAAAUUUUGAUGAAGCAGCAACUGCUACCACGUGUGUCCUCUCGUUUAGAGCUGAGGUUGCUCGUCAGGAAGAUUUGGUCAUUUUUUUUGCAUUGCAGACAACAGACUCUAGUCCUCCUGAGGUCUCCCUAAACACGAGCUACGCCUCUGCACUGGUCUGCUGAAUUAGGCAGUUGACUGAUUCAUAUUUGGGUGUUUUAAUUUGCCUGUGUUUUAUAGCAGGCUGCUGAGCCGGCGGUUUCCUCAUUAAAGGACACAUGAAAGCAAGCUGUAAAGCAGCCUCGGUAUAACCAGCCUGCGCUGACGUCUGAAGGGGAUACAAGCGACCGAAGGACCGACCAAGUCCCGAGCCAGCCGGUCUGAGCCGGAGGGCCUCACCCUCUGAGCUGGGCAGCCAGUGGCGGGACACCAGACACACCACACUGAAUUUUGUCCACACUAGGAUACAAUACCGCUGUGAUGUGUCAGCAGGAGUUCACUCUAUGAUGGAAGAUGUGUUUGCAUUGUGGGAUUAAAACAUGGUCCAGUCUUAAAAUAUAGAAACUAUUACUUUUUUAAGAGUCACGAUACCUCCCCCCUUGCUAUAGAUACUUGAAUUCACACCCAAAUGAAUCUAAGCUAUCCCUGCAAACAAAUUUAAUCCCACUAUAUGCAGGUGAUAGACUCUUAUAUCCCUUCAAUUUCUGUUGCUUCUCUUUCCUCAGCUUUUGAACUUCAUUGCACACCUGGUUACCCCCCCUUCUCGCUGCCAUUUAAAGAAUAAAACAGCUCUUAGAGUCGCCGCUGUGAUAAAUACCCGAGGCAACGGCGUUCAUUAUUUCCCCAUUACAACUGCUGGUGGAUCCUCUCGGCUGUUUAACGACUCUCUCCUUAAGGAAGUAAGAGCAUUGGGGUCACAACAGGGAGGGGGGGGCCCUAAGCACCCCGUGAUUCAUAUCAAAUGCACGUUAAGUGGCAUGUGGCUAAAUUAGUGGCUGGAAUCUCGCAGGUAUAAUAGCUCACCAGCAGUGCGUAACGAGCCACCGUCUCACUGUGUAGUAAUGUGGCCUUGAUAUCUUUUACAUGAACCCACCAAUAACAGUAAGGUCAUUUAACUGGAGUGCAUAUCCACACCCACAGUGUCUGCACAUCAUCACAACACCCACACAAGUCCUCUUCCUGUUUUGUAGACAACAUUCCCCCCAUCCUGAGUCAUUGACUCUGUUUAGGUUCAUUAGUGAAGAUGAUUCCGUUGCAGACAGCGGGUCAGCGUGUAACACGUCAAGACGACAGCGAGGCACAGAACAGCAGCUAAUUAUAACUAUAAGGACCUCGUUUGAAUAUCGGUGGGGGUGUGGGGGAGCUGUUACAAAACAUGGUGCCGCCUCCUGACUCCAAGUUUGCAUUCAGAGAGCACAGGUAAAUAUCUGGGGUAGAAAAGACAUCAUUAGAUCUACACUGCUGGUCUCUCUUAUUUUUUUACUCACUUUCACUCCAACUUCUACUUGCUGUGUCUGAUUGAGUUUUAUCAGUAUUUUCCCGAUGUUUACGGUAAAACGAAAAACAGGGAAAGAUUAAUCCAAGAAGAAGUAAAGCCUUUGCUGAUAGGCGUCCUUGUUAGGGCCUGUCGCCACCAGCAGCAUUGUUGUGCCAUAGUGCCUAUUUUCUGUGCAAAAACCAGAGCAGAUCCAUAUUUUUUAAUACUCAGCGUCCUUUGACAUUAGCUGUUUGUGUACCUUUGCAGCUUUCUGAAAAGUGUUCAAUUUCCAGAACUCUGCUGUGAUUGUUAGUAUCACUUCUUCUUUAUCGGAUGAUUAAAUUAAAGAAGGAGCAUCAAUGUCAUCAACGACAACAGGAGAGGGCAAUCUAACCACACUCGACUCUUUGAGGGUACAAUCUUCAGGUCUGUAGCAGGACAGGGUUCUUUCGUUGUUUUUACAUUUUAUUUUGAUUUUUUUAAGUACAUUAUAGAGCUUACAGAGGAAUUCAAAGCAGACACAGUCUUAAUAAGACAAGUCAAUGUGCUGUGAGAAAACCCAGAAACAGUGGAGGUGAGAAGUGCUCUGAAUUUUUGUAGGAAGGGGAUUUUGGAUCAAUCAAAACAUUUCAAUUGGGCCCCACCACUUCACCAUCUAAGAUGUCUUGUAGGGCCCCUUAUUGUUGCAGAUCCCCACAUAGGGUGCCCUCAGUUGUGGAUGCUGUCAGCCCAAAAAUGGUGUUGAUGGACACAGGCCCUAGUGACUAGGAUUGGUGAUCAAAGUCAUUUAUCAAGAUAUGACCCAGCAAAUGUCUACAUUUUUUCUUGAGUCCUUGUUUAUAAAAACAAGUUUUCAAUAUUAAGGGGAAGAGCGCUCAUAUUUCCUAAAUAACAGUGACUUAAAGCUCUUUUAAGGAACUUAUAGUUUGUUGGUGCAAAUUUUGGUGCACCCUACAGACCAAACACUGUCUGCCAACCUUAUGUACAUGUGGAAGUAUUGUUGUUUUUUAGGCAAAAUAAAAAAUUAAAUAGACACAAGUCUCAUUUUAAUUGAUUUGAUACCAAGUGAAACAUGUUUUAAGUUGUAUUUUGCUUCUUUGAAUUGACUGAGUUUGAUGUUACUAGUUUGUUUGGCCUCGUUUGAAGAUAUAAAUGCUUAAGUAGUUUUAAGCUUCAGUGCUGAAAAAGCACCCUUCAUUUAAGUUUACUCUGCUUUUCUGGAUCGUGUCAACUCAAUGUCUUCAAUCUUAUUUUCAGUUCUUAGCCACAAGAAAAGUUUGUUUAGUGUACUGGCAGUAAGCGCCACACAUGCUUCUAUAAAAAGUUUGUUGGAAAUUUCUCAUGGCUUGUUUGUGGUGUGCAAACCGGAAUUCAUUCAUACUUUCCUGCUUUCUGUCUCUGCCCUAUUCUCUUAUUUUACACCACACCUCUCUUGGUAUUACCCCCCACACACCCUCUGUCACCUGUGACUAACUGCACUGUGCACACUCGAUUCAUCACACACUACUGCACAUGCUCAGUAGCUCUUCAUUAUAUUAAUUACUCUCAUUGGAAGAGUAAUCAUCAGGCCCCGUCAGAAUUCAUCACCGCCUGGUUCCCACAGAGACCCAGGU